This 253-nucleotide ribosomal RNA is filed under the name uncultured bacterium. RNAcentral describes it as "partial 16S ribosomal RNA". It matches the Rfam family "Bacterial small subunit ribosomal RNA", at positions 524 to 776 of the family's 1533-position model. The record is from RNAcentral.
UACGUAGGGUGCAAGCGUUGUCCGGAAUUAUUGGGCGUAAAGAGCUCGUAGGCGGUCUGUCGCGUCGGCUGUGAAAACCCGGGGCUCAACCCCGGGCCUGCAGUCGAUACGGGCAGACUAGAGUGCGGUAGGGGAGACUGGAAUUCCUGGUGUAGCGGUGAAAUGCGCAGAUAUCAGGAGGAACACCGGUGGCGAAGGCGGGUCUCUGGGCCGUAACUGACGCUGAGGAGCGAAAGCGUGGGUAGCAAACAGG